This is a long non-coding RNA of Mangifera indica (mango), 441 nucleotides long. RefSeq lists it as uncharacterized. The transcript is spliced from 2 exons. NCBI's taxonomy places the organism in Eukaryota, Viridiplantae, Streptophyta, Magnoliopsida, Sapindales, Anacardiaceae. The record is from RefSeq and is a predicted model, not a curated record.
UUGUCCCUAUUUUUUCUUUUUGAACUCGUUUCUUAAGUUUUCUUGCUUGACUUGGUGUCAAAUUCUUUAUGCCUGAUCUGUAUGUAUGACUUAUCUUUAACAUCUUUUUAAUGAUUAAAUAUCAGGUCGGCAUUUCUUCUGGCGCGGCAGCUGCUGCUGCAAUUAAGGUUGGAAAGAGACCUGAAAAUGCUGGGAAGCUCAUUGCAGUUGUGUUUCCGAGCUUUGGAGAACGAUAUCUCUCGACUGUUCUUUUCCAAUCGAUCCAAGAAGAAUGUGAGAAAAUGCAGCCUCAACCCUGAAGCAUGAAAUUUUUCUCCAUUCAAGUUCAUUAAUACAGUACUGCAUUAGUUUUUCGCAUACGUAUUAUAUACAUUUUUCGCAUACAGGUUGUAUACCAUUUUAAGAAUAAUAGUAAUAAUAAUGGUGAUCGUGAUAAUAGUC